This 489-nucleotide ribosomal RNA is filed under the name Lithobius nodulipes. RNAcentral describes it as "partial large subunit ribosomal RNA". It matches the Rfam family "Bacterial large subunit ribosomal RNA", at positions 1829 to 2600 of the family's 2925-position model. The record is from RNAcentral. Lineage: Eukaryota; Metazoa; Arthropoda; Chilopoda; Lithobiomorpha; Lithobiidae.
UGCCCUUUGGUUAUGAAUAAAGGGUAAGGUCUGCCCAAUGAUUUUUGAAUGGCCGCAGUAUUUUGACUGUGCAAAGGUAGCAUAAUCAUUUGUCUUUUAAUUGGAGUCUGGUAUGAAUGAUUUAAUGGAAUAAUCGCUGUCUUUUUCUGUAUUUUGAAAUUUUAUGGCAGGUGAGGAUACUUGUAUGUUAAUAAAAGACGAGAAGACCCUAUUAAGUUUUAUACCCAUGCCCAGAAAUUUUCUGGGCAUGGGUAUUUGAUUGGGGCAAUUGAGAAAUAAGUAAAACUUUCUGGCGGGUAAAUAUUUAUGUGUAAAUUUUUAUAGGAUCCGAUUAUUUGAUUAUUAAAAUAAAUUACUUUAGGGAUAACAGCGUAAUUCUCUUAUAGAGUUCUUAUCGAUGGGGGAGAUUGCGACCUCGAUGUUGGAUUAAGAUACCUUUCUGGUGCAGGUGUUGGAGGGGGUAGUCUGUUCGACUAUUAAAUUCUUACA